UGGUUCUCAAAUUCUGGGAUUUUUAUUCAUAACAUAAUCAAUGGGCAAACUCCAAAUAAAACUUCCUUUUAGUCUUCCUCCUCCGUCUCUACCUCCGCUGCCCUCAUUACGCGUUGACCCUCCUGCUCCGACGUCCUCGUCCUAUAUCCUCUUCCCGCUCAUGCAAAUCCAGCAUCUCCCAUUGAUCGCAACAGGAGUGAAUUAUCUUCCUUUCCUUCCGCUUCUCUUUCUCUGCUUAGCUUUUAGGUUUUUGUAAAUUUGUAAUUUGUUGAUUAUGUUUUGUGCCCAAGAUUCAUGAUUUUGGUGAUUUAUAGUUGCAGUAGAGCUCCGGUGCCGGGUUGAAAUAAGAUGUGAUAUUGGCCUGUUGUUUCUUGAAUUGUUGCUGAUUGUUUCAAUUUUAGCAUCCUUUGAAGUCGGAAACUUGAAAUCUUAUUACGGGUUAUAGAGUUGUUUUGUCCGUGUAAUUUUUAUUCUUUUCCUAGAAUGUCUAUAUGGUCAUAUUUGUUUUUGGUUAGAUUGAGCUUGUAUAUUUGGUAUGUCUAUAAUUUAUUGGAUUUGGUUAGUUGAAGAAUUAGUUCGGGAUGAACUUAGUGCACUUGGUUGUAGACGGUUGAAAUUUACAGUCACGUUGUAAAGUGCUGUAUUCAUGAAUAUUCUAGACUUGAUACUUGAUAGGGUGCCUAUCCUGCCAUGCUCUUAUGAUUGAGCUAGACAUGAUACGGAAAAUGUCCAGCCUCCACGAAUGUGAUCAUUUGCAUAGGGUUGAAUGCUUGUGUGUAAACUAGGCAUCACUAUUUAUAAACGUGUUGAACAACCCAUGUUUAGGAAUGGUGUACCCAUUUGAUGUAGCACAAUCUCUGCUUGGUGAGACAUGUGGUUGAUGGUGGGAUAUGGGAUGCCCCCAUGUGUCUAUUCCGUUUCACAGAGAUUUUCAUGGGGAUGGAGACUUUUGUGCCCAUUACAUUGACUUGCUUAUGAAAUUAUUUUGAGUUAUAUUUUGUGUGAUAGACAUAUGAUCCUGGUUAAGGUAUAAGGAUCAUGUGUGUUAAGGCACAAGGAUCAUGUGUGCUGCAAUGGGGUUGUAGCAUCUUGGCCAAUUGGCUUUGUUUUGUUGGCUUAUCAGAUACAAAUAGGCAGUGUCCUGUCACAUAGCUCUUUAGCCUUCCUUGACUGAGACUUGUUGAUUGAUCUCAUCCACUUGAAAAUUCAUGUAGAAGUUGCCAAUUCUACUUUGUAAAGAGUUGCCUCGGCCCCAUUGCUCUUAUUGCAUCAAACUAGAUAGCCCCGCGAUCCUACCUUCAGUUUUCUUCUUUCAAUUUGUAUGAGAAAGUUAUUGGAUCAGUUUGCUGGUCAGUCACCCUAUCUUGCGUAUUUUCCUCUUCAUUUUUUGUAUAGGGUUGAUGGAUGAUAUCUAAUUUAUCCUCUGAGGUGGUUCAUUCUGCUUGAGAGCUGGCAAGUAGUAUGCUAGGAAUAAAAAGUUUAACUGCUUAUAAGUUGUAGGCCCUAUAGAAUGUGGGUACUAAGUAGUUAAGUUGUGGGUUCUUUGUUUUACCAGCUUAAAAAAAAAUCAAGCUUUGCCAAACUUGCACUUAAAGAAGCAAAUUGAUCUGUUAUGACAUUUUUGGGGCUUGAUGUUAAAUAGUCUGGAGAUAUUCUGCUGUGAUAAGAAGUGGUCUGGAAACAUAAAAUACUGGAAUAUUAGAGAAAUGAGAUAUCAUUUAUGGAGAACCAGGAGACUGUUGCUUUUAUAGAAUUAUUCAAACGGAUAGGAACAGAAUAAUGAGUUCUUUGGUCAAACAACUAGAAUGGAACGAAGUAUAUUUGUGUUUGUAUUGCAAAGAGAAUUAAUUCUGUCUUAAGAAACUACGUGCUAUAUAUUGUUGAACACAUGACUUUUUCCUUGCUUCUUUUGAAGUGAUUAGUAUUAUUAGCAAGGGGAUGAAAUAUAUUGUGUUACUGUAAAGAGAAUUAAAUGUGACUUAAUUGAGACUACAUGCUAUAUCUUGUUACGUGUUUGAACUUUUCCUUGCUUCUUUUGCAGUGAUUGGUAUCAUUAGAAGGAAGGUAUUGAUUAAAGACUUGGCUGCUGCAUACCAUGUUGAGUGCCUCACGUAUUGUCAGGAACUUUUGGAACUUCAAAGUAAAGUUGACGAGGUAAAAAUUUUCAUGCCACAUAUUUUCUUUGUUUUCUCUAAUCACGCUUUUCUUUAGGGUUGGGCAAAUCUCCCGGACCAAUUCGACCGUACCGAACCCGACGGUUCUUGUCAAAUUAAAUACCCGAACGGGUAUCUGAAUUGAGAACCGACGGGUACGGUUCAGUUCUCGGUUCUAAACCAAGAACCGAAAAAUCGAAUAAGAACCAAAUCUUUCUAAUUUUUUUUUUAUAUUGAGUAAAUCAAAUUAUUUUAAUUUUAAUUUUUUCUAAAUAAAUUAACAAUUUCUAAAUUCAAAUUUUUGGCCCAAUAAUUUGUUUCAUUUCUAAUUUUUUAAUUUUUGGCCCAAUUACCCAUUUUAUUGUUUCAUAUCUUAGCCCAACAAGAUCCAAUCCACUAAAUAACUCUAAACACCUACACUAAAGUGUAUAAUGUUGUCUCGACUCUCGCAGCCUUGCUAAUAUUCCAAAACUUAUAUAAUCGUCGGCCGAUACUGUGAUUUCCGAUUGAAGCUAUGAUCUCUGCCGACCGAAACUUUGAUCGUAGCGAUCAUUUGAACAAGGUAAUCUAUUAGUCUCUGACAUUCAAAAACCAUUGAAUGUAUCAUUAGUUGUAUUUAUAUAAUAUUGUUAUAAAUAUUAAAAAAUUUAAUUAUAGCACGAACGGAACCGAACCGAACCGAACUGAUCGGAACCGUACCCGAACGAUUCCAUAAUUAUAUUUGGACCCGACGGUUCCAUUUACUAGAUAUCCAAAAAUUUUGGUUCGGACCGAACCGAAUCGACCCGCACCCACCCCUACUUUUCUUAUUGAUUCUUAACAUAACUGAAAAUUGUGAUUUAUUUGGAUGGUUUAUUUACUAUAUUGAUACUUGGCACUAU
This 3034-nucleotide long non-coding RNA is filed under the name Olea europaea subsp. europaea. Lineage: Eukaryota; Viridiplantae; Streptophyta; Magnoliopsida; Lamiales; Oleaceae. The record is from RNAcentral.